RNAcentral lists this ribosomal RNA (808 nucleotides) under uncultured bacterium. RNAcentral's name for it is "bacterial SSU rRNA". It matches the Rfam family "Bacterial small subunit ribosomal RNA", at positions 8 to 809 of the family's 1533-position model. The record is from RNAcentral.
AGAGUUUGAUCCUGGCUCAGGAUGAACGCUGGCGGCGUGCCUAACACAUGCAAGUCGAACGGAGAUCAUAAGGAAUGCGACUUCGGUCAAAUGACUUUUGAACUUAGUGGCGGACGGGUGAGUAACGCGUGAGCAACCUGCCUUUCAGAGGGGGAUAACAUUUGGAAACAGAUGCUAAUACCGCAUAAGAUUACAGUACCGCAUGAUACAGUGAUCAAAGGAGCAAUCCGCUGAAAGAUGGGCUCGCGUCCGAUUAGAUAGUUGGUGAGGUAACGGCUCACCAAGUCGACGAUCGGUAGCCGGACUGAGAGGUUGAACGGCCACAUUGGGACUGAGACACGGCCCAGACUCCUACGGGAGGCAGCAGUGGGGAAUAUUGCACAAUGGGCGAAAGCCUGAUGCAGCAACGCCGCGUGAGGGAAGACGGUUUUCGGAUUGUAAACCUCUGUUUUCGGUGACGAACAAAUGACGGUAACCGAGUAGGAAGCCACGGCUAACUACGUGCCAGCAGCCGCGGUAAUACGUAGGUGGCAAGCGUUAUCCGGAAUUACUGGGUGUAAAGGGAGCGCAGGCGGGAUAGCAAGUCAGUUUGUGAAAACUAUGGGCUCAACCCAUAGAUUGCAGUUGAAACUGUUAUUCUUGAGUGGAGUAGAGGCAAGCGGAAUUCCGAGUGUACCGGUGAAAAUGCGUAGAUAUUCGGAGGAACACCAGUGGCGAAGGCGGCUUGCUGGGCUCUAACUGACGCUGAGGCUCGAAAGUGUGGGGAGCAAACAGAAUUAGAUACCCUGGUAGUCCACACUGUAAACGA